RNAcentral lists this ribosomal RNA (380 nucleotides) under uncultured eukaryote. RNAcentral describes it as "partial 18S ribosomal RNA". It matches the Rfam family "Eukaryotic small subunit ribosomal RNA", at positions 592 to 976 of the family's 1831-position model. The record is from RNAcentral.
CAAUAGCGUAUAUUAAAGUUGUUGCAGUUAAAAAGCUCGUAGUUGGAUUUGUGGCGUACGGUGUGUUCCGGGCACUUGUUGUCUGAGUAACCUGCUGUUGCCAUCCUUGGGUGGAACCUGUGUGGCAUUAGGUUGUCGUGCAGGGGAUGCCCAUCAUUUACUGUGAAAAAAUUAGAGUGUUCAAAGCAGGCUUAUGCCGUUGAAUAUAUUGGCAUGGAAUAAUGAGAUAGGACUUUUUUGCUAUUUUGUUGGUUUGCGCAAAGAGGUAAUGAUUAAUAGGGACAGUUGGGGGUAUUCGUAUUCCAUUGUCAGAGGUGAAAUUCUUGGAUUUUUGGAAGACGAACUACUGCGAAAGCAUUUACCAAGGAUGUUUUCAUUAA